UACAGAGGUCUCAAGCGUUGUUCGGAUUCAUUGGGCGUAAAGGGUGCGUAGGUGGCGCCGUAAGUCAGGUGUGAAAUUUCGGAGCUCAACUCCGAAACUGCAUUUGAUACUGCGGUGCUUGAGGACUGGAGAGGAGACUGGAAUUUACGGUGUAGCAGUGAAAUGCGUAGAGAUCGUAAGGAAGACCAGUGGCGAAGGCGGGUCUCUGGACAGUUACUGACACUGAGGCACGAAGGCCAGGGGAGCAAACAGG
This 253-nucleotide ribosomal RNA is filed under the name uncultured bacterium. RNAcentral's name for it is "partial 16S ribosomal RNA". It matches the Rfam family "Bacterial small subunit ribosomal RNA", at positions 524 to 776 of the family's 1533-position model. The record is from RNAcentral.